CGACCGCGAGCCUGAGCCCGAGGACCAGUACCGCGAGCAGGAGCUCCCGGAAGGCUUUGAGAACGGCAAGUCCAACCUGAUCCUUUGAUGCAUAUUUAAUACCCAGCUUUUCAAACACAACCUAUUGGCCUGUUUUAUAACAUGCAUAUUGUUUUUAUUGCAAGACAUGGUUGGAUAGCCACCCCUUGAUUGUUAUGAUUAUUCCUUGUUGUCCUAUAUUUAUCUCUAAAUAUGAGUUGCUCUGUUUAGAUGAUAAACACGGCUAGAA
RNAcentral lists this long non-coding RNA (268 nucleotides) under Setaria italica (foxtail millet). RNAcentral's name for it is "long non-coding RNA (SITA_LNC006969)". The record is from RNAcentral. Lineage: Eukaryota; Viridiplantae; Streptophyta; Magnoliopsida; Poales; Poaceae.